GACGAACGCUGGCGGCGUGCCUAAUACAUGCAAGUCGUGCGGACCUUGUUGAAAGCUUGCUUUUAAAAGGUUAGCGGCGGACGGUUGAGUAACACGUGGGCAACCUGCCUGUAAGACUGGGAUAACGCCGGGAAACCGGGGCUAAUACCAGAUCGUUUUUUCCUCCGCAUGGAGGAAAAAGGAAAGGCGGCUUCGGCUGCCACUUACAGAUGGGCCCGCGGCGCAUUAGCUAGUUGGCGGGGUAAUGGCCCACGAAGGCAACGAUGCGUAGGCGACCUGAGAGGGUGCUCGGCCACAUUGGGACUGAGACACGGCCCAACCUCCUACGGGAGGCAGCAGUAGGGAAUCGUCCGCAAUGGACGCAAGUCUGACGGAGCAACGCCGCGUGAGUGAAGAAGGCCUUCGGGUCGUAAAACUCUGUUGCCGGGGAAGAACAAGUGCCGUUCGAACAGGGCGGCGCCUUGACGGUACCCGGCCAGAAAGCCACGGCUAACUCCGUG
This 500-nucleotide ribosomal RNA is filed under the name uncultured bacterium. RNAcentral describes it as "partial 16S ribosomal RNA". It matches the Rfam family "Bacterial small subunit ribosomal RNA", at positions 28 to 507 of the family's 1533-position model. The record is from RNAcentral.